GAUGAACGCUGGCGGCGUGCCUAAUACAUGCAAGUCGAGCGAACAGACGAGGAGCUUGCUCCUCUGACGUUAGCGGCGGACGGGUGAGUAACAAGUGGAUAACCUACCUAUAAGACUGGGGUAACUUCGGGAAACCGGAGCUAAUACCGGAUAAUAUAUUGAACCGCAUGGAUCAAUAGUGAAAGACGGCUUUGCCGUCACUUAUAGAUGGUUCCGCGCCGCAUUAGCUAGUUGGUAAGGUAACGGCUUACCAAGGCGACGAUGCGUAGCCGACCUGAGAGGGUGAUCGGCCACACUGGAACUGAGACACGGUCCAGACUCCUACGGGAGGCAGCAGUAGGGAAUCUUCCGCAAUGGGCGAAAGCCUGACGUAGCAACGCCGCGUGAGUGAUGAAGGUCUUCGGAUCGUAAAACUCUGUUAUUAGGGAAGAACAAAUGUGUAAGUAACUAUGCACGUCUUGACGGUACCUAAUCAGAAAGCCCCGGCUAACUACGUG
This 497-nucleotide ribosomal RNA is filed under the name uncultured bacterium. RNAcentral's name for it is "partial 16S ribosomal RNA". It matches the Rfam family "Bacterial small subunit ribosomal RNA", at positions 28 to 507 of the family's 1533-position model. The record is from RNAcentral.